This 253-nucleotide ribosomal RNA is filed under the name uncultured bacterium. RNAcentral's name for it is "partial 16S ribosomal RNA". It matches the Rfam family "Bacterial small subunit ribosomal RNA", at positions 524 to 776 of the family's 1533-position model. The record is from RNAcentral.
UACGGGGGGGGCAAGCGUUGUUCGGAAUUACUGGGCGUAAAGAGCUCGUAGGCGGCUCGUUGCGUCGGCUGUGAAAACCCGCAGCUCAACUGUGGGCUUGCAGCUGAUACGGGCGGGCUGGAGUUCGGUAGGGGAGACUGGAAUUCCUGGUGUAGCGGUGAAAUGCGCAGAUAUCAGGAGGAACACCGGUGGCGAAGGCGGGUCUCUGGGCCGAUACUGACGCUGUGGAGCGAAAGCGUGGGGAGCGAACAGG